RNAcentral lists this unclassified non-coding RNA (283 nucleotides) under fungal sp. Its description in RNAcentral is "partial internal transcribed spacer region". The stretch from base 1 to 46 matches the Rfam family "Eukaryotic small subunit ribosomal RNA", at positions 1786 to 1831 of the family's 1831-position model. The record is from RNAcentral. RNAcentral also lists the same sequence under 1 other name. Lineage: Eukaryota; Fungi.
AAGUCGUAACAAGGUUUCCGUAGGUGAACCUGCGGAAGGAUCAUUACCGAGUUUUCUGGUUUACAGAUUUCUCCCACCCUUGUGUAUUUUGAUGCUGAUAAGCAGCUUCGGCGGGCCGUUCUUGGGGUUUGUUGAUUGUCCUGCAAUUGAUAGAGACCAAGAACAUCGGCCUUUAAAGCGGAUCUGUGUCCGCCGAAGGAAACCCAAUUCUUGAUAAUUGUAAAGUCUGAAAAAAAACUUGAUAAUAAAAUCAAAACUUUCAACAACGGAUCUCUUGGUUCUG